RNAcentral lists this long non-coding RNA (218 nucleotides) under Elaeis guineensis (African oil palm). RNAcentral describes it as "long non-coding RNA (EGUI_LNC019763)". The record is from RNAcentral. Lineage: Eukaryota; Viridiplantae; Streptophyta; Magnoliopsida; Arecales; Arecaceae.
AUUAUUAAUUAAUCUCAUUAAUUAAUACUAAUUAACCCUACACUAGGAUCUAAAUAUGAUACAACAGCAUGCAUUUAAAUUUGAAAUUCAAAUUUGAAUCAGUAAACCUUUUACAGUACUGUGUUCAGCACACAUCACCUUUUGCGGGUAGUCGAUCACCGCAAUCUGAUCACCAUCGGAGGGCUCUGAUCAUCAUGUCACAGCCACAUAAAUGUCUG